RNAcentral lists this long non-coding RNA (477 nucleotides) under Carica papaya (papaya). Its description in RNAcentral is "long non-coding RNA (CPAP_LNC013601)". The record is from RNAcentral. Lineage: Eukaryota; Viridiplantae; Streptophyta; Magnoliopsida; Brassicales; Caricaceae.
CUGACAAGAAAUUAAUAUAACCUAUGCGCACAAUGAGAGCCAAACGCACGAAUCGCACGAAAAAAAGGAAAAAAGCAAUUCAACCCAGUGAAGGAAAAACAAAGAAGAACAUAUGGAGAGGAAAACAGAAGAACAAAAAUGCAAAAUUGAAUUACACAUGAACCAGAAGAAACAUACAAGAAAUAAUUGGAUCAGUUACCUUUUGGUUGAGGGAUGGAGAAAAAACCGAGAGAUCUGGUGCAGAAGGAGGAGGAGAUAGAUGAAGACAAAUAGUUUCUUCUGUCAAAAGAUGACGGGAUCUUAGACUCUUCCUCUCUUUAUAUAUAUACGCGCACGAAGAUAUAUACACACCUAGAGAUCUCACCCUUCGUAUUUAUAUAUUAAAUUAUGUUGAAAAGAACAGAAACGCUACAUUCAACACGUUUUCAUUUCCUUGAGAAGAUAACACGUUAUGAUCGCAUGCUAACUACCAUAAUU